UACAGAGGUCUCAAGCGUUGUUCGGAUUCAUUGGGCGUAAAGGGUGCGUAGGCGGCGCGGUAAGUCGGGUGUGAAAUCUCGGAGCUUAACUCCGAAACUGCAUUCGAUACUGCCGUGCUUGAGGACUGGAGAGGAGACUGGAAUUUACGGUGUAGCGGUGAAAUGCGUAGAUAUCGUAAGGAAGACCAGUGGCGAAGGCGGGUCUCUGGACAGUUCCUGACGCUGAGGCACGAAAGUCAGGGGAGCAAGACGG
This 253-nucleotide ribosomal RNA is filed under the name uncultured bacterium. Its description in RNAcentral is "partial 16S ribosomal RNA". It matches the Rfam family "Bacterial small subunit ribosomal RNA", at positions 524 to 776 of the family's 1533-position model. The record is from RNAcentral.